RNAcentral lists this ribosomal RNA (1028 nucleotides) under Dasya pedicellata. RNAcentral's name for it is "partial large subunit ribosomal RNA". It matches the Rfam family "Eukaryotic large subunit ribosomal RNA", at positions 854 to 1863 of the family's 3401-position model. Lineage: Eukaryota; Rhodophyta; Florideophyceae; Ceramiales; Dasyaceae. The record is from RNAcentral.
AGAGGAAACUCUGGUGGAGGCUCGUAGCGGUGCUGACGUGCAAAUCGCUCGUCUAACUUGGGUAUAGGGGCGAAAGACUCAUCGAACCAUCUAGUAGCUGGUUUCCUCCGAAGUUUCUCUCAGGAUAGCAGGCCGAUAUGUCUAAGUCUCAGUUGUUGUGUGCGGUAAAGCGAAUGAUUAGCGUAUUUGGGGGCUUUUAGUCUUCAGACGAUUCUCAAACUUUAAAUGCGCACGGGGUGUUGCCGCUUGAUUGGGCUUCACCGUUUAAAAAAUAUCGGCUUUGUGGGCUUGUUUUGGUAAGCAGAACUGGCGAUUCGGGAUGAACCGUAAGUGUGGUUAAGGCGCCAAAUUAUCCGCUUAGAGAUUCCAAAAAAGGCGUUGAUUCAUCGAGACAGCAGGACGGUGGCCAUGGAAGUCGGAAUCCGCUAAGGAGUGUGUAACAACUCACCUGCCGAAUGAAUUAGCCCUGAAAAUGGAUGGCGCUUAAGCGGGUAGCCGACACCACGCCGUUUGGGCAAGUAAUUGUUCCCAAAUGAGUAGGAGGACGUGGCGGUCGUAUCGAAGCGUCCGUGCGAACGGGCGUGGAACGGCCGCUAGUGCAGAUCUUGGUGUUAGUAGCAAAUAUUCAAUUGAGAACCUUGAAGGGCGAAGCGGGGAAGGGUUCCACGCGAACAUUGAUUGGGCGUGGGUGAGUCGUUCCUAAACCACGUGGCAAUAGCUAAGUAUUGGUGAAAGGGAAGCAGGUUGACAUUCCUGCACACGAAUGUAGACGCGGUGACGCACUUCUGGGGGUGAUGAAGCUGGCGNUGGCACUGGGCAGAGUUGUCUUUUCUGUUUAACCGAGUCUGACAUGCUGUGUGGAAUCCGCUUGUCGGGAGAUGCACGCAUGCUUGGGCAUAGCGCCGGGGUGUUUUCCGGCGUCCAGCUCGCCAUCGUCGGACCUUGAAAAAUUACCUGCUGGCACUUGGUCGGUUUUAGACCUUGUGUGGAAGAACUCUACGUCGUAACGUACCCAUAACCGCAGCAGU